CCCUUAGAUGUCCGGGGCCGCACGCGCGCUACACUGAAGGAAUCAGCGUGGCUUUCUCCCUGACCCGAAAGGGUUGGGAAACCCGUUGAAUCUCCUUCGUGAUAGGGAUUGGGGCUUGAAAUUGUUCCCCAUGAACGAGGAAUUCCCAGUAAGCGCGAGUCAUAAGCUCGCGUUGAUUACGUCCCUGCCCUUUGUACACACCGCCCGUCGCUACUACCGAUUGAAUGGCUUAGUGAGAUUUCCGGAUCGGCGUUGGGGAGCCGGCAACGGCACCCCUUGGCUGAGAAGUUACUCAAACUUGGUCAUUUAGAGGAAGUAAAAGUCAUAACA
RNAcentral lists this ribosomal RNA (330 nucleotides) under uncultured eukaryote. Its description in RNAcentral is "partial 18S ribosomal RNA". It matches the Rfam family "Eukaryotic small subunit ribosomal RNA", at positions 1470 to 1796 of the family's 1831-position model. The record is from RNAcentral.